CUCACGGUCUCACGGUAUUGCAAUGAGAACAAUUUAAAACACUUAGCGAGGAUCAAGUGGAGGACAAGUCUGGUGCCAGCACCCGCGGUAAUUCCAGCUCCACUAGCGUAUAUUAAAGUUGUUGCAGUUAAAAAGCUCGUAGUUGAACCUCUGUCUGGGGCUAAUUUUGGCUUAGGUCAGGUUAGUUCUAGGCAUCCGCCUACAAGACUUAGAGGGCAUUUACUUGUUCACUAGGAGGAGUAGGCAUUUUACUUUGAAAAAAUUAGAGUGUUUAAGGCAGGCAAUAGCUCGCAUAUAUUAGCAUGGAAUAAUAGAAUAGGACACUUUUCCAUUUCGUUGGUUAUUGGAAUCGUGUAAUGAUUAAUAGGGACAGUUGUGGGCAUUUGUAUUUAAUUGUCAGAGGUGAAAUUCUUGGAUUUAUUAAAGACAAACUAACGCGAAAGCAUUUGCCAAGGAUGUUUUCAUUAAUCAAGAACGAAAGUUAGGGGAUCAAAGACGAUCAGAUACCGUCCUAGUCUUAACUAUAAACUAUUCCGACUCAAUGUUUGACUGGCUUAUAUAACCAGUUGAGCGUUGUAUGAGAAAUCAAAGUCUUUAGGUUCUGGGGGGAAUAUGGUUGCAAAGCUGAAACUUAAAGGAAUUGACGGAAGAGCACAACCAGGAGUGGAUUCUGCGGCUUAAUUUGACUCAACACGGGGAAACUUACCAGGUUAAAACAAUAGUGGGAUUGACAGUUUGAGAGCGCUUUCUUGAUUUGUUGGGUGGUGGUGCAUGGCCGUUCUUAGUUGGUGGAGUGAUUUGUCUGCUUAAUUGCGUUAACGAACGAGACCUUAACCUGCUUACUAGACUAAUGAUCAGUAAUCGUUAGCUCUUCUUAGAGGGACUUUGGUUGUUUUAACUCCAAGGAAGUUUGAGGCAAUAACAGGUCUGUGAUGCCCUUAGAUAUCCUGGGCCGCACGCGUCAUACAAUGACUAGUUCAGAAAGUUUUCUCCUGACCCGGAAGGGGAUGGGUAAUCUUGAUAAUACUAGUCGUGUUAGGGAUCGAUCUUUGCAAUUAUAGAUCUUGAACGAGGAAUUCCUAGUAAGUGCGGUUCAUCAGACCGUACUGAUUACGUCCCUGCUCUUUGUACACACCGCCCGUCGCUUCUACCGAGUGGGUGGUCCGGUGAGAUACUUGAACUUCUUAAGCAAUUGAGAGGAAAGAUUAUCAAACCUAUCCACCUCGA
Molecule: ribosomal RNA, 1227 nt
Filed under: metagenome
Description: SSU rRNA
Rfam family: Eukaryotic small subunit ribosomal RNA
Source: RNAcentral